ACUCCUACGGGAGGCAGCAGUGGGGAAUAUUGCACAAUGGGCGAAAGCCUGAUGCAGCCAUGCCGCGUGUAUGAAGAAGGCCUUCGGGUUGUAAAGUACUUUCAGUUGUGAGGAAGGGGGUAGCGUUAAUAGCGCUAUCUCUUGACGUUAGCAACAGAAGAAGCACCGGCUAACUCCGUGCCAGCAGCCGCGGUAAUAC
RNAcentral lists this ribosomal RNA (199 nucleotides) under Vibrio sp. RNAcentral's name for it is "16S ribosomal RNA". It matches the Rfam family "Bacterial small subunit ribosomal RNA", at positions 335 to 526 of the family's 1533-position model. The record is from RNAcentral. Lineage: Bacteria; Pseudomonadati; Pseudomonadota; Gammaproteobacteria; Vibrionales; Vibrionaceae.